This 696-nucleotide ribosomal RNA is filed under the name uncultured bacterium. Its description in RNAcentral is "bacterial SSU rRNA". It matches the Rfam family "Bacterial small subunit ribosomal RNA", at positions 32 to 715 of the family's 1533-position model. The record is from RNAcentral.
AACGCUAGCUACAGGCUUAACACACGCAAGUCGAGGGGAACCGCCAUCGAAAGCUUGCUUUUGAUGGGCGUCGACCGGCGCACGGGUGAGUAACGCGUAUCCAACCUGCCCACCACUUGGGGAUAACCUUGCGAAAGUAAGACUAAUACCCGAUGAUAUCCCUAGAAGACAUCUGAAAGGGAUUAAAGAUUUAUCGGUGAUGGAUGGGGAUGCGUCUGAUUAGCUUGUUGGCGGGGUAACGGCCCACCAAGGCAACGAUCAGUAGGGGUUCUGAGAGGAAGGUCCCCCACAUUGGAACUGAGACACGGUCCAAACUCCUACGGGAGGCAGCAGUGAGGAAUAUUGGUCAAUGGGCGAGAGCCUGAACCAGCCAAGUAGCGUGCAGGAUGACGGCCCUAUGGGUUGUAAACUGCUUUUAUAAGGGAAUAAAGUGAGUCUCGUGAGACUUUUUGCAUGUACCUUAUGAAUAAGGACCGGCUAAUUCCGUGCCAGCAGCCGCGGUAAUACGGAAGGUCUGGGCGUUAUCCGGAUUUAUUGGGUUUAAAGGGAGCGUAGGCCGGAGAUUAAGCGUGUUGUGAAAUGUAGACGCUCAACGUCUGCACUGCAGCGCGAACUGGUUUCCUUGAGUACGCACAAAGUGGGCGGAAUUCGUGGUGUAGCGGUGAAAUGCUUAGAUAUCACGAAGAACUCCGAUUG